GGUGUACGAGACUUAGAUCCAAAUUAGAUAAAAUCAUAAUAAGUAGCAUGUUAAAUAAUAAAAAUCAGCAUGUAUAAGAGAUAAGAGGUGAUCUUAUCACCAUGCACGGGUAGAUGAUCUCCGUGAUUGUUGAUCUAAUGAUCUCCAAGGUUCGCUAUGGAGCCGCACAUGUGCCCGAUUUCUAUAGGUAUCCACUCAUGUUUGAUCUAGGAU
Molecule: long non-coding RNA, 213 nt
Filed under: Elaeis guineensis (African oil palm)
Lineage: Eukaryota; Viridiplantae; Streptophyta; Magnoliopsida; Arecales; Arecaceae
Description: long non-coding RNA (EGUI_LNC038779)
Source: RNAcentral